UACGGAGGGUGCGAGCGUUGUCCGGAUUUAUUGGGUUUAAAGGGUGCGUAGGCGGCCUGUUAAGUCAGCGGUGAAAGUCAGUGGCUCAACCAUUGAACUGCCGUUGAUACUGGUUGGCUUGAGUGCCGGUGGGGUACAUGGAAUUUGUGGUGUAGCGGUGAAAUGCAUAGAUACCACAAGGAACACCGAUAGCGUAGGCAUUGUACUUACCGGUAACUGACGCUGAGGCACGAAAGCGCGGGUAGCGAACAGG
RNAcentral lists this ribosomal RNA (253 nucleotides) under uncultured bacterium. Its description in RNAcentral is "partial 16S ribosomal RNA". It matches the Rfam family "Bacterial small subunit ribosomal RNA", at positions 524 to 776 of the family's 1533-position model. The record is from RNAcentral.